This 492-nucleotide ribosomal RNA is filed under the name uncultured bacterium. RNAcentral describes it as "partial 16S ribosomal RNA". It matches the Rfam family "Bacterial small subunit ribosomal RNA", at positions 29 to 507 of the family's 1533-position model. The record is from RNAcentral.
AGUGAACGCUGGCGGUAGGCCUAACACAUGCAAGUCGAACGGCAGCACAGUAAGAGCUUGCUCUUAUGGGUGGCGAGUGGCGGACGGGUGAGGAAUACAUCGGAAUCUACUUUUUCGUGGGGGAUAACGUAGGGAAACUUACGCUAAUACCGCAUACGACCUACGGGUGAAAGCAGGGGAUCUUCGGACCUUGCGCGAUUGAAUGAGCCGAUGUCGGAUUAGCUAGUUGGCGGGGUAAAGGCCCACCAAGGCGACGAUCCGUAGCUGGUCUGAGAGGAUGAUCAGCCACACUGGAACUGAGACACGGUCCAGACUCCUACGGGAGGCAGCAGUGGGGAAUAUUGGACAAUGGGCGCAAGCCUGAUCCAGCCAUACCGCGUGGGUGAAGAAGGCCUUCGGGUUGUAAAGCCCUUUUGUUGGGAAAGAAAAGCAGCAGGUUAAUACCCCGCUGUUCUGACGGUACCCAAAGAAUAAGCGCCGGCUAACUUCGUG